Varroa destructor (honeybee mite) is the source of this 3602-nucleotide long non-coding RNA. RefSeq lists it as uncharacterized. The record is from RefSeq and is a predicted model, not a curated record. Lineage: Eukaryota; Metazoa; Arthropoda; Arachnida; Mesostigmata; Varroidae.
UAAGAAUUUGUUUUAACCCACAUAGAGGCCAUUUGAUCAGUUGAGAUUUUCAUUCAAUGUAGCACAUUCUACGAAAGUAACUAGAUCGAAUACCAAGUACUAUCUACCGCCUAGUGUGACUACUUAUACGUUAUCUCUGAUGGGUAAUUGCCGUGCGGACGGAAUAUGUCUAAUCGAACUCGAUGAUUAUCACUUACCUAGUUGAGUUGAAGAGAAGCUAGUCUCAAGACCACACAGGUCUACGGCAUGAAAUUACAAAUAUACUUCAACAUAAGAAGUCAGUUACAGACUUCGAAUGGCUCUGCUAGCUCACAAUAAGGCUCACGUGGGUCUAAGUUAAAUGAAGUACCGACUUGAUUCAACCCCAUUCAGUUCCCUCACCAGGCCAACGUGGCCGGCGUUCAAAUCUGCCGGGCGCAAAGGCGACAACCAAAGGAGAGAAGCGACUACUACCAAGAUUUGUACGACAGCCGAGUGCGACGAGUAUAUCUCGGAGCUGUCUGUUUCGUUGGUUGUAUUUCGGCUAGUCAAGGAGUACGCCUUCGAAAUGUACACUUUCAUCGAGUGGCUCGUGGACCCUUAGCUUGGCUUGGCCUGCUUCUCUUGGUCUGGUCCUGGCCACUUCUAGCCGAAUCUCCAGCCUGCUGUCCAGCUUGCAACUUUCCGCUCACAACCGGCCACGCUUGUAAACUCGGUAGACGAGUGUUCCUUAUCUAGAAAGCGUUUUAAUUACAAAGAACAAAGAGGCCACGGGAAGCCCUAGACGCCUCGACCACUCUCCGUCUAGGAGCAUCGUACCAGCAAACAGAGUAACCCCUGCUUAAAUCCGUUAUGCCAACGCUUUCGACAGCCAGCAGAGAGACGGCCAACUAGCGACUGCCUUGGAGAAACCGUUCCAUUCUGCAACCACAAGGUCUGUUCACAAAAGGCCGGUAAUUCCCAUCCGCUCUCACGGAAUUCUUUUCUACAUAACUUGCCUGACUCUUAACUAUUAUAGGGAGAAGGGAGUCGUAACUGUAUUGAGAGAGCUGCGUACAUAGUUACCACUGUGGAAGGAAAAGGACACGAAAGCAGGAGAAAAAACAGGAGAAAUAUCGAGAGGCUCAAUUGGCGGAGGCGUAGGCCUGGUUGCUUGGUUUGUUCGACGCUUAAGGGAGUUUACCACCUGAGACCUUCUGAACACCUUCGUCCAUGGCCCAAUCUGUCGGGACUGUCGAGACUUGCCCCAAGGCUGGAAGUGCCAAGUGAGAAACGCUGGGAGUUAAGAAGCUCUGACUGUUUCACGCUCGAUGCUAUAGAGAAAAGGACAACGAGAGAGAGAGAGAGAGAGAGAAGGCGGAUAAUAUGGCCCAAAGCAACGAGUGGCCAUGUACUGCUCUACAGACUGAAACCACUGUGCAUCGGUAGCUGUCAUUGCUAGAAAGCUUUUCCCGCUGCUGGUAGCGUGGCGAUGUGUACCGAGAGUCGUACACCUGAAAGAGUAACGAAACGAAUUGACCCAGGCAAUCGACAUAAGACGGCUGUGGAUGGACAAAGACGAUCGUCGAAGUUCGGUGGGCCAAGCCACCAGUAGCAGAAGCACUCGCAGGAACGCAAACGUAAACGAACGCAGGCAAAUCGGUGGCGACCAAAGCGGCAGGCCGUACCCGGUAUAGGCGGGUCCUAAAUUCCUUUAGGGAAUUCUAAAGGUGAGAGAUACAAAAGAAGAAGCAGAAGAAAAGAGCAAGCCACUUGCAUGUAGGGGCCUUUUGCCAAAGAUGUCAGCGAGACAAGAAGGCCGACCUACAGUCUUGCUACAUGGUCCUGCUGUGUGAAUAGCGGACUGGUCGCUGUUCAUACAGUAGUGUUGGACUUCGUUCGUGGCAAGGUGUGUAUCCGGCCAACCCGGGAGACCAUGUUUAGCUUUCAGGGGUAUUAGCCCUGUUUGCGUCGGCAGUAUACCAGCGUUAGUUAGUUGACCAACCCCAUUAACUCUCCUGCGCUGCGAUUGUCCCAUUGUUGCGCCGAGAACAGUAGCGAAACAGCCUUCCAGGUCUUAGCUAGAAAGCAAUGGUUCUGGCGAUGGCUGGGGUGGCAGUGGUCAAUUUGCGGCUGCCUUGACCUAAAGAGGAGAAUAGAGAAAAGACAACUUGCAACUAUGCGACGGUCAGUCUUGCAGCCGCCCGCCAAAAGGAAGGACCAUAAAGACCUAGAGUGCUACUAUUUAUCCUACCAGAGGGGGCUGGGCUGAACGGCGCCUUUUAUAGAGGACUAUUCAAGGGAAUGCAUCGAACAAAAGGUGGGAUGUGCAGAACGCGCUGCCAAACACUGAAUAGAUGGAAUCAAGCCAUAGGGAUGCAAUUGCCGAAUAGUGGAACAACGAUUGCGAACAAAGGACCGUUAGCCAGAGAGCACUUGAGCACACUGCAGCAAACGAAAACGUCGACAAUAACAACAACAUCAGCGACAAGAGGACACAACGACAGUCUUCAAUGGAAAGGAGUAGAUUCAGGGAAAACGUCAGCUUCGAGUUGGAUCGCAAGUUCGUAAAGUUUCUUUUAUCCAAAGAUCGACUGAGAGCGACAAAGGGAACUAAACAAGAAUGAACUCAACUUGCCUCUGUUGGCUUCGUUUUCUCCGUAUGUAGAAGAGUCGCUUUUUCCAAAAAUGUACGUAUAUCUAUGUGUGAUUCGAGCUGACCCUCACCUAUUUUUCCGUAGGAAAGUGUUAAAAAUCAAUUUUCGGUAUUGCGUCAGAUCUGGUAGAAGAACCCUUGGUGAACUUUUCUCCAACUGCGAUCCUCCAGCGAUUUCUCCAACUGCACUGUCAGACUGCACGAUCAACUAUCCUGAUCAAGGAUUCCACCACUGCACUGCUACUGACUGAGUUCGCGAGUCUAUCAAACAAGUAAUCGCUAAAUCUGGUCCCAUCGGAACCUAUACCGCUACCAGAUGACGCUGACCAGCCCACAUACAUACGUAAGCCGAGCAAAAUGCUAAUCGAAGUGAAUAGCUAAACGAAGCACGGGAGAGAUCGGCUGGGGCUGAACGAAUCCUCCACUAAAAAAAGUAGCAAGAGCUUCGUCGCAAAGCAGAAAGUGGCGACCGAAUCGGCCGCUUUGUGACAGAGGUGGAAGCGAAGAACCAUCAGCAGAUGUCUAAACACCAGCGAUGCGAAGCAAAAUAUUUUGCCGGACAAACACGGCAGGAACGACCGAAAACCGCCUGACAACAACCUGCUCUGCUUAGCAAUCCGUCACAGGCCAUCCGCAGUGAUGUCCAAAUUCAAGGGACCACUCUCAUUUUGGGGCUCAUGUUGAGUCUCUGAUCUUAUCGUAUUUAACUUAGCCAAGAGGAGUUGGUACAACCGACUACCCUUAAGCUACCCUCCAUGUAUCAUGCUAUUAAAUACAAUAAAGAUCCUCUACGUCUCAAGUUUUACGUCCGCAAAUACGUUACCCGCUAAGCUAUCAUAAUGAAAAAUCUUGUUGGCUAAAAACCAGAUCCCCUCUUUGGACCUCGUUUCAUCUGAACCCCUGUAACUGGUAACUGUUUUUAGAAAACCGUACAACGACCUGCUUGACCAUUAUACAUGUUGACCAACUUCUCUUUCCCGCACCCUAG